CAAUGUACAGGGAUACUGGAGUGAUGGAGGUAGAUAUGUAUAGGGGGAAGGAGACUAUAUACAGGGUCAGUACCAUAUUAACAAUGUACAGGGAUACUGGAGUGAUGGAGGUAGAUAUGUAUAGGGGGAAGGAGACUAUAUACAGGGUCAGUACCAUAUUAACAAUGUACAGGGAUACUGGAGUGAUGGAGGUAGAUAUGUAUAGGGGGAAGGAGACAGGGAUACUGGAGUGAUGGAGGUAGAUAUGUAUAGGGGGAAGGAGACAGGGAUACUGGAGUGAUGGAGGUAGAUAUGUAUAGGGGGAAGGAGACUAUAUACAGGGUCAGUACCAUAUUAACAAUGUACAGGGAUACUGGAGUGAUGGAGGUAGAUAUGUAUAGGGGGAAGGAGACUAUAUACAGGGUCAGUACCAUAUUAACAAUGUACAGGGAUACUGGAGUGAUGGAGGUAGAUAUGUAUAGGGGGAAGGAGACAGGGAUACUGGAGUGAUGGAGGUAGAUAUGUAUAGGGGGAAGGAGACAGGGAUACUGGAGUGAUGGAGGUAGAUAUGUAUAGGGGGAAGGAGACUAUAUACAGGGUCAGUACCAUAUUAACAAUGUACAGGGAUACUGGAGUGAUGGAGGUAGAUAUGUAUAGGGGGAAGGAGACAGGGAUACUGGAGUGAUGGAGGUAGAUAUGUAUAGGGGGAAGGAGACUAUAUACAGGGUCAGUACCAUAUUAACAAUGUACAGGGAUACUGGAGUGAUGGAGGUAGAUAUGUAUAGGGGGAAGGAGACUAUAUACAGGGUCAGUACCAUAUUAACAAUGUACAGGGAUACUGGAGUGAUGGAGGUAGAUAUGUAUAGGGGGAAGGAGACUAUAUACAGGGUCAGUACCAUAUUAACAAUGUACAGGGAUACUGGAGUGAUGGAGGUAGACAUGUUUAGGGGUAAGGUGACUAGGCAUCAGGAUGUAUGAAAAACGGCAGC
Molecule: long non-coding RNA, 968 nt
Organism: Oncorhynchus keta (chum salmon)
Lineage: Eukaryota; Metazoa; Chordata; Actinopteri; Salmoniformes; Salmonidae
Exons: 5
Source: RefSeq, a predicted model, not a curated record